CCUACGGGCGGCAGCAGUAGGGAAUAUUGCUCAAUGGGGGAAACCCUGAAGCAGCAACGCCGCGUGGAGGAUGAAGGUUUUCGGAUUGUAAACUCCUUUUGUUAGAGAAGAUAAUGACGGUAUCUAACGAAUAAGAACCGGCUAACUCCGUGCCAGCAGCCGCGGUAAUACGGAGGGUGCAAGCGUUACUCGGAAUCACUGGGCGUAAAGAGCGCGUAGGCGGGAUAGCAAGUCAGAUGUGAAAUCCUAUGGCUUAACCAUAGAACUGCAUUUGAAACUGUUAUUCUAGAGUAUGGGAGAGGUAGGUGGAAUUCUUGGUGUAGGGGUAAAAUGCGUAGAGAUCAAGAGGAAUACUCAUUGCGAAGGCGACCUGCUAGAGCAUAACUGACGCUGAUGCGCGAAAGCGUGGGGAGCAAACAGGAUUAGAUACCCGGGUAGUC
This 440-nucleotide ribosomal RNA is filed under the name uncultured bacterium. RNAcentral describes it as "partial 16S ribosomal RNA". It matches the Rfam family "Bacterial small subunit ribosomal RNA", at positions 338 to 795 of the family's 1533-position model. The record is from RNAcentral.